This 543-nucleotide ribosomal RNA is filed under the name uncultured Desulfobacula sp. RNAcentral's name for it is "bacterial SSU rRNA". It matches the Rfam family "Bacterial small subunit ribosomal RNA", at positions 28 to 545 of the family's 1533-position model. Lineage: Bacteria; Pseudomonadati; Thermodesulfobacteriota; Desulfobacteria; Desulfobacterales; Desulfobacteraceae. The record is from RNAcentral.
AAUGAACGCUGGCGGCGUGCUUAACACAUGCAAGUCGAACGAGAAAGGGAUUGCUUGCAAUCCUGAGUAGAGUGGCGCACGGGUGAGUAACACGUAGAUAAUCUACCUUCAAGCCUGGGAUAACUAUUCGAAAGGAUGGCUAAUACCGGAUGAAGUGUUUUGACAUAAGUUGAAACAUGAAAGAUUGCCUCUUCUUGAAAGCAAUUGUUUGGAGAUGAGUUUGCGGACCAUUAGUUAGUUGGUGGGGUAAAGGCUUACCAAGACAACGAUGGUUAGCUGGUCUGAGAGGAUGAUCAGCCACACUGGAACUGGUACACGGUCCAGACUCCUACGGGAGGCAGCAGUGAGGAAUUUUGCGCAAUGGGGGCAACCCUGACGCAGCAACGCCGCGUGAGUGAAGAAGGCCUUUGGGUCGUAAAGCUCUGUCGACAGGGAAGAAAUUACAAUCAUCCAAUAGGUGGUUGUAUUGACGGUACCUGUAGAGGAAGCACCGGCUAACUCCGUGCCAGCAGCCGCGGUAAUACGGGGGGUGCAAGCGUUAUU